UACGUAGGUGGCUAGCGUUGCUCGGAAUCACUGGGCGUAAAGCGCACGUAGGCGGACUCUUAAGUCGGGGGUGAAAUCCUGGAGCUCAACUCCAGAACUGCCUUCGAUACUGAGAGUCUUCGAGUUCGGGAGAGGUGAGUGGAACUGCGAGUGUAGAGGUGAAAUUCGUAGAUAUUCGCAAGAACACCAGUGGCGAAGGCGGCUCACUGGCCCGAUACUGACGCUGAGGUGCGAAAGCGUGGGGAGCAAACAGG
Molecule: ribosomal RNA, 254 nt
Filed under: uncultured bacterium
Lineage: Bacteria
Description: partial 16S ribosomal RNA
Rfam family: Bacterial small subunit ribosomal RNA
Source: RNAcentral